Molecule: ribosomal RNA, 497 nt
Filed under: Platypleura maytenophila
Lineage: Eukaryota; Metazoa; Arthropoda; Insecta; Hemiptera; Cicadidae
Description: partial 16S ribosomal RNA
Rfam family: Archaeal large subunit ribosomal RNA (bases 371-497)
Source: RNAcentral
AAAAUUAAAGGUCUAAUCUGCCCAAUGAUAUUUGAAUGGCCGCGGUAACUUGACCGUGCAAAGGUAGCAUAAUUAUUAGUCUUUUAAUUGGAGGCUUGAAUGAAAGAUUGGAUGAAAAAUAAACUUUAUUAAUAUAAAUUAUUUAACUUAUCAUUUAAGUAAAAAUUCUUAAAUUUGUAAGUGGGACAAGAAGACCCUAUAGAGUUUUAUUAUUAUUUUUAUUAUUAAAUUCAAGAAUUAAUAUUUUUAUCAUAAAAAUAAUUUUUUUGUUGGGGUGAUGUUAAAAAUUAAUAAACUUUUAAUUAAUGUUUCAUUAAUAUAUGUAUAAUUGAUCCAAAAAAUUUUGAUUAUAAGAUCUAAUUACCUUAGGGAUAACAGCGUUAUUAAUUUGAAGAGUUCAAAUCGAUAAAUUAGUUUGCGACCUCGAUGUUGGAUUAAGAAUAAAUUUUGAAGAAGUAUUUAAAAUUAUAGGUCUGUUCGACCUUUAAAUUCUUACG